GACCACCCACAAGUGUGGGUUAAGGCCAGACGGACAGCCGGGUCCAUAGCCGA
This 53-nucleotide small RNA is filed under the name human gut metagenome. RNAcentral's name for it is "Streptococcus sRNA SpF59 (ldcC RNA)". It matches the Rfam family "Streptococcus sRNA SpF59 (ldcC RNA)". The record is from RNAcentral.